This 260-nucleotide long non-coding RNA is filed under the name Physcomitrium patens. RNAcentral's name for it is "long non-coding RNA (PPAT_LNC000635)". Lineage: Eukaryota; Viridiplantae; Streptophyta; Bryopsida; Funariales; Funariaceae. The record is from RNAcentral.
UACAUGUUUUUCAAAGUCAACACGUGUUAGAUGUCUUAUAGGACAUUACCAUGUAGCUCUUAGUUAAGAAUAUAUAUAGAAGUAAGAGUAAAACCUUCUUUAUUCUUCUCAAUACCUUUUUACUCUUUAGUCUUGUUUCAAGACUUUUUAGUCUUCUUAUCUUUGGCAAUAGCUAUGUUAGUUCAAUAUAUUAAUCUCUUAAAUGAAUUCCUAGUCUUUUUGAAUAAUACAAGAGUAUAUUGAAGCUUUCUUUCUUUAAG